CCUACGGGUGGCAGCAGUGAGGAAUAUUGGUCAAUGGACGAGAGUCUGAACCAGCCAAGUCGCGUGAAUGAUGACUGCCCUAUGGGUUGUACACUUCUUUUAUAAGGGAGUAAAACGAGGCACGUGUGCCUUUUUGCAUGUACUUUAUGAAUAAGGCUCGGCUAACUCCGUUCCAGCAGCCGCGGUAAUACGGAGGAUCCGAGCGUUAUCCGGAUUUAUUGGGUUUAUAGGGAGCGUAGAUGGGUUGUUAAGUAAGUUGUGAAAGUUUGUGGCUCAACCGUAGAAUUACAAUUGAUACGGGUGGACUUGAGUGAAGUAGGGGCAGGCGGAAUUCGUGGUGUAGCGGUGAAAUGCGUAGAUAUUACGAGGAACCC
This 374-nucleotide ribosomal RNA is filed under the name uncultured bacterium. RNAcentral describes it as "partial 16S ribosomal RNA". It matches the Rfam family "Bacterial small subunit ribosomal RNA", at positions 338 to 709 of the family's 1533-position model. The record is from RNAcentral.